Molecule: non-coding RNA, 198 nt
Organism: Vicia faba (fava bean)
Lineage: Eukaryota; Viridiplantae; Streptophyta; Magnoliopsida; Fabales; Fabaceae
Source: the annotation of a GenBank genome assembly
AUGAAUCUAUUGAAAGAGUUGGGCACCAAUGAUAGUGAGGCUGUUACGCUCUUGGUUGAUAACGUUUCCGAGAUUAAUUUUGCUAAGAACCCAAUUACAUAUGGGAGGAGCAAGCAUAUUGAAAUGAAAUUUCACUACUUGAGGAAACUUGUUAGUGAAGGAAAGUUAAUGUUGGGAUAUUGUAGAAGUGAAGAAUAA